AAUAUCUCACAGUGGAGGAGCGCGGAGACUGUUCGCACAGCAGCCCAGCGAAAACGUCACCCGACUGGAGGUACGAACGCUUUGCAGACUGGGGGCGCCCAAGCGCAUCCCAGACGCGAGGGCAAAGGUCCAGGAGGGCUGUGGGGCUCUCGGAAGUAUCCGAUCACCUUGAGAGGAGUCCGCCGGGUGUCCGAGCCUGAUGUCACUGCACCUUCGAUUCCUCCGACGCCCCUGCCCUUACUUCCCAGUCUUCCGGCAACUUCUCCCCUUUGGCCUCCCGUAGGCCUUGCCCCCAGGGAGGGGACGCGCUCCACAGGUGGAUUCGCACGUGUGGACCCUCGGCAGCACUUUCUCGUGCAAAUUAACAAGUGGCCCUCAGGGUGGAAGCACCGCCCAGCCUUUCCUGGGGAGGUCACCAGGGAGCCCGAGCCCUGGGAAGGGACACCAAGGCACUCCCGGGACUCCGGAGAAGGACAACAGCCCCAACACAGAGUACUCGGCCAUCCAACCGCCCUUACCCAAGCGGAGAAUCUCUCUCCACCUCCGCCCUGCCGGAACUCAAAGUUGUUUGUCAGAGGAGCCGCCAGGUUUCCUUGUAGGUGGGCAAGAUAUGCACUGUGCGCGCGGGCGCGCGCACACACACACACACACACACACACACACACACAAGUAUAUAUAUUUUUCCAGUUGCCACUGCAGGACUGCCAGCUUUCGGAAAUAAGCAUCCGCUCCCUCUCCCGGGACUGGGCGUGGGGUUACCGAGAGGAGAGGAAGAGACCUUGCGUUUGCGCUGGGCCUGCUCGGUGCCAGGCCAUCCCAGGCUUCUGUCUAUCCUGGUUUCUGGUCUGUGCGUUGUGGGUAGCAGCAUUGGCGUGUUGCGCCGGAGGGAGCAGGCUGAGCGAGGCUCCAGAAGGUGCGCAAUAGCCGGAGAGGAAAGGGCGAUGCUGUCACCUGGCCCCCUCCCUGAGACUCCAUCCAGCCCAGAAAAAGGAGCUGCUUUCUCCCCCACCUACCCCAGGAGAAAAUAAACGGUCGCUGGUUUUUUCCUGCGUCUUUUAAUUUUGACAGAACUGUUUUGGGUCGGCUAUUGUGGGCCGGGAUGGAGGUCUUCUCCUGCCAGGAGCAACCCUGCCCACACCCAGGCCGGCAGUGGAGUAAGCCUUGCCCCAGCCUGCCCUCCCAGGAAACAAUGCCCCUUUGUCGCUCGCCCUCCCGGGGCUGAUCCAGCCCCUCCCCUUAGCUUAGGGCUCCCUCCCAUUAGAGCAUUCCAAUGAUAGCCACAAGUCACACUCUUCUUUGAGGUCUCUGCGAAGAAAACAAAGCAGCCCUCCUAAACACACGGAGGGAGUGGAACUUUUCCUGUCCUCUGACUAUGUGCCAGCCUUGGCUCCUCCCUGAAGCCCUGUCGAGAGGGCUUAUUAGGUCACUUAUGUUUUGUACCUCGCGUGAAGUCCCACAAUCAGUAGAUUAUAGAGGGGGGCACAAACCCAGCAAAGUCUGACAUAGAGAAAUUACACAUACACACAUACAUACAUACAUACAUAGUCUUUCCACCACCCAGGAUUGAAAAUUAAUGCUGUUUUUGGCAUUGUCCCUUAUCCACCCAAGCCCUCCACAAGGCUGGCUGGCAUUUGCUUGACUCUAGUUCUACCUUCCUCAGUAAAUAACAUCUUCCCACUCCAUCUUUUUUCCCACUCUUUACCUGUCCCACCUCCUUGGUUGCUUGGUGGCACCAAGGGUCACAGUGAGACUGUUUUGGGGGACCUGGCCUCAUAUGCCCCCUGCCUCCUCGUUCAGUUCUGAGAGGACAGUGCCUGCCACUUGGGUGUGCCUCCAGGAUGGUCCUUUUCUUUUAGACUUUGACUUGUUAAUCCUCCCUCAAUGCUCCUGCCAGAGUCUCAGUCCCACUGCCAGGACCCAGGCGCACUCUUCCCUCCCAUCUGUUCUGCAGAAGGGCAGAACUUUAGGAGUGCUAUGAAUAAUGGCAUUUUCCCUUGAUGAACUGUUGGCAGCACCGAUAGGGGUCCACACAGGCUAGAGCCAGUCCUGGUUUGAGUGUGAUCAUUAAAGGCGCAGGGCAGUGGAUGCUGGCUGUGAGGUCACUAAGGGACCAUAGUCCUGGGACUUGGUUUCUCACUGUUUGGGUGCAGCAGGAGGGAACAUGUGUUUUGGCAGCUUGCAGGGUGCUUUGGCAACAUUUUAAAAAUUAUUGCCCCCCUUUCCUGAUAAAUGUGCCCAAUUCCAGUUCCCCCUUCCCUCUUCCCUUCAUUGUUUUUCUUCUCUUUCCUGUUUCUUCCCACAUCCAUGGGUUUUCAAGUGGUCCUUUGGCAUCUCAAUUUCCUCUUCCGAAAAGCUUAGGAUUAUAGUAAUCCAUAGGGUGGUAAUACAAAUUAAGUGACAUAGCAUGUAUUUAAUAAAUUAGUUCCAUCUCCUUACGUUUUCUCAUUUUUUCCUCUUCCCGGUUGACUUC
Long non-coding RNA from Macaca fascicularis (crab-eating macaque), 2470 nucleotides. Lineage: Eukaryota; Metazoa; Chordata; Mammalia; Primates; Cercopithecidae. The record is from Ensembl.